CAGGAGGCUAGGCCGGGGGGUUGGGGGUCCCCUGUAACCGGAAAUCCCCCUUAUGCCGGGGCCGAAGCCCGAGGGCGGCUAUGUGCUGAAAGGAAGUCCUGCAGGUGAACAAUGAAAUUCCGUCCCGUGGAGUCGUAGCCGUGGCGAACCGGUCAGGCCCGGAAGGGAGCAGCCGUAAGCCACGAGCUACGAUGUUCACGGGGGUGCGGAAUGGAGGAAGCCUGCAGGGGCGCUUCCUUUCAGCACAUAGUCCACCGAGGGCGCGCCUCCUG
This 272-nucleotide signal recognition particle RNA is filed under the name Nanobdellota archaeon. RNAcentral describes it as "signal recognition particle sRNA". It matches the Rfam family "Archaeal signal recognition particle RNA". Lineage: Archaea; Nanobdellati; Nanobdellota. The record is from RNAcentral.